CAGAGGGUAGUUUAUGAAAAUAUCAGUUUUGGGUAUUGAUGAAGAAGGGAAAUUCUUUUCCUCUGA
RNAcentral lists this transfer RNA (66 nucleotides) under Margattea speciosa. RNAcentral's name for it is "tRNA-Pro". Lineage: Eukaryota; Metazoa; Arthropoda; Insecta; Blattodea; Pseudophyllodromiidae. The record is from RNAcentral.